UGUAAUGAUGCCACUGUUCUCCAGCCCAGGCAACAGAUCGAGACCUUGUUUAAAAAAAAAAAAGUCCAGUUCUGUAGUCACUAUGGCUGAAUGCCUCCUGCGGCACGUGUGAGAUACAAACCCCAUUUUAUAUUUAGCUACUUAUCCCGCAUACACCCAGCACAGGCAUCUGGUUGCACAUUUUUCCUCUCUCUCGAGCCCAAUUGCAUGGCAGCCUUCAGAGUGUGCAAAGGCCACCUGCUGCAUAGCUUUUCAUGGGUGGCUGCAAUGUCGCCAUUAAAGGUUCCCUUCUAGAAUGCAGCUUUUCCUGAGCUGGUGCCAGAUUCGGUCCCUAAACAAAUGGCAUGAAGGGCUUUUGGAAAUUUUUCCAUCUUGUUGGGAGAAAGUGAGAAGAUAAAGCCAGAAGUCACCCAGAAGUGAAAAAGCCCCAGAGGGGCUGGAGACGGUGCCUUCUUGGCUGUGCCACCCCCACACUGCCCGCCACCUGCUUGCUAGGGCCUCUGAGUUUAGUCUUUGAAAAAAAUUUCACUGUGAGGUUUUAGAGGCAUUAGGCUUCUAGAAAUGAAAGCCAGGUGUUUUGUGGGGGUUUUUUUGAUUGUUUGUUUUUUUGGAUUGGUUUGGUUUGGUUUUGGUUUUUUAAUUUACUUAUUAGAAGUUAUACCAUACUCUUCAUAUAUUCUAAGCGUAUAAUCCUAGCACUCUUCAAUAUAUUCAGUAGAUCUAACCCAAUUAUUGACCUCCACGCGCUUACCUGCUCACACAAUGAAGGGAUAUAGACAAGCUGUCAGUAGCCCCAACCCAAAAGAAAAAUAAGUAAUUACUAAAGUACAAAAAGAGACUGUGCUCACUUUGUAUACUUACUAAUUCCCUUUAUUUUGCUGGGAACUAUUUUGAGUUCUCAAAUCCAGAAAUAUAUCAUCGAUUACGAUAUCUUACAGGCAAAUUAAACUAAGAUGAGUCGGUGCCACCACCCCCAGAGCAGGCAGGCUGUGGCAUGUGUUCUCAAGGUGAGGUCGGGUGUGUGGAGAACGAACGUGGAGAAGUGAGUCAGGAGAAGCCCAGGCAGCCAGGGUUAAAAACAUGCUCUUAACUUAAAAAGAAAAUCACAUUGAGUCUUACUGUGUGUGACCGGUCUAUUCAUUUGCUAAGGAUGCUAUGACAAAGAAGCACAGCCUAGGAGGCUUAAGCAAUAGAAACUUAUUGUCUAACAACUCUGGAGGCUGAAAGUCCAAGAUCAAGGUGUCCACAGGGCCAUGCUCCUUCUGAAGGUGUCAAGGAUGGAUUUGCUCCAUGCCUUCCCUCGUUCCAGUGGUUGCUGACAAUCUCUGGCGUUCUUUGGCUUGUGAAAACAUCACCCCAAUCUCUGCCUUCACCUUCACAUGGCAUUCCUCCUGUGUGCCUGUGUCCAAAGUUCUGCUUAUAAUAAGGCCACCAGUCCUUGGAUUAGGGACCCACCUAAUCCAAAUAAUAACCUCAUUUGUGAACUUGAUAGUAAAGACCCUCUCUCCAGAUAAGGUCACAUUCACAGGUACCCAGGGUUUGGGCUCCAACAUAUAAAUUUUUGUGUGACACAGGGUCAACCCAUUAAAACUUGUCUUUUUUAAAAAAAGAAAUGGGAUGAUUUGUAUGUUACUUAAGCUAGAGAAUUCAGGAAACAACAGGGUUUGUCAGCAUCACAGUCAGUCCCUUGCUGAGCUGCUUAGCAUGGUGUCACAGUCCCCUGAAAUGAACUGGGAGGAGCACCUGCUACCUGCUCCUUCCUAUUUUAAAUCUGAAGCAGAGAUUAUAACUCAUGAGUAUGGAACAAAAGCUGGUAUCCCUUCACUGCUGAGCCGUGUUCUUAUUUUUGUCUCCAAUCCUAGUUCCAAAUUACUCCUCACUAUGACUUCGAGGUCCUCAGAAACCUGGAACCAUGGACAACUUACUGUGUUCAAGUUCAAGGGUUUCUUCCCGAUCGGAACAAAACCGGCGAGUGGAGCAAGCCUGUCUGUGAGCAGACCACUGAGGACGACACGAUCCCCUCCUGGCUGGUCGCUGUCAUCCUCAUCGCGUCUGUCUUUGUGGUCUUCCUGGUGCUCCUCGGCUGUUUCGCCCUGCUGUGGUGCAUUUACAAGAAGACAAAGUACGCCUUCCCACCCCGGAACUCCCUUCCACAGCACCUGAAAGAGAUGGCCCAGCCUGGCCCCAGAACCCUGUGUCUGGGUGGCGAUCUCUUGGGAUCUGCCGUAAACACCGCCUAGCAUCUUUCCCACCGCGGACAGUUGAGAGAUCUGUUCCGUUAGCACGUUGUCAUCGAUAGGUAUUGCACCAGUCUUGAGGUGGGGUGGGCUGCUUGUCCGUAGCCCGUACCUUCUGUGGGGCCCUUUCCUGCUCGGGGCCCCCUCAGAGCCGCAGCCUUCCGUGUCACUUGGCAAACACACCGGAGAGUCUUCCUUCGUGGUGGUGGGAGAGGUGGGCACAGUCAUCGGUUCUUUAAAGGGGAUGUCCUGGCAAGCCUCACUCCGGGGGACCCCUCAAACGUCACUGAGGUGGCAGGUCCCUGCACCAUCACAGGAUGAGUGUCCUACCUCCGCAGGGUGCGUGCCUUACCGAUGCCUUGCCACUUCUUGCACUUCUGGUCCUAUUAAGGUAUUCCAACUGGUCAACUGAUACAGGCCACCUCUGGGAAGGACACAGAACCUUGGCCAAGGCACCUGCCUUAUGUAAAAGGCACCAGCUAGAAAGCGCCUCAGCUGUGAGCCAUUUCAGCUGCUGGCAUUCCUGGAAGCUGGGGAGACAAGCGCCCCAACAUGAGGGGAUGUGGGUAGCACAGCAUCCACUGUGGAUAGAAGUGGCCACAUGACCACAGGCAAGUGUCUCAGAGCAGCUAGAACCUUCUAAAAAAGAGUGCCAGCACGACUACAGCACCGGGGUGAACUGAGAAUCCUCUAGAUUGAACUGCAUAUUUUAUGUGAGCUUUUUGAGAAGCCACAGCUGCAGCAGGAAGAACAAAGAGGGCCGGGCCCUUCGGUCUGGGCAGAAGGUGUUUUGUUAACUGAGAACCAAGAGGAAGCAAAACUGUUCACCUGCUAUUUUUGCUUCUGGCUUCGCCAUCAAAGAGACUGGUCAG
This is a non-coding RNA of Microcebus murinus (gray mouse lemur), 3109 nucleotides long. NCBI's taxonomy places the organism in Eukaryota, Metazoa, Chordata, Mammalia, Primates, Cheirogaleidae. The record is from RefSeq and is a predicted model, not a curated record.